This 337-nucleotide long non-coding RNA is filed under the name Elaeis guineensis (African oil palm). RNAcentral describes it as "long non-coding RNA (EGUI_LNC009317)". Lineage: Eukaryota; Viridiplantae; Streptophyta; Magnoliopsida; Arecales; Arecaceae. The record is from RNAcentral.
GGAGCUUCUUCAAUCUUAAUUAUUUUUUACUAUAAAUUAAUGUGAGAUUUCAUAAAUAUUAUGAAAAAAUUUAAUUGCUAAUCUAUUCUUUCCUCCUGGCAUCCAAUGUGAUCAGACAAAUCUUUCCUUCAUCAUCUCAACAAAAGAGGAACUUCAUGAAGUCACAAUCUACCUCAACAAUCUUAUAGGUUUGGUUCGUCCUUUCUAGCCCAUCGAGAGACAAGCAUGCCAGAGAAACUUAUUGGCUGUUGAAGUGGGGUGAUAAGUCUCAUGGAGAGGUGUACCUGUGCAUGCCACUUGUUUUUGAUUAGUUGAAAAUAGGAUGAUCGAAAGAUGA